GUCAAGUCUCCGCGCGCAAACUUUGGUCGCGGUCGUUGAUUGGCUGGAUGCUGGUUACGCCACUCCGGGACUAGACAGCACGAGCCUGCUUGCUCGCCGUUGAUUGGCUCCGCCCAGGCAACUGGACAAUUUCUGCUUGCCUCCUCGCAUUUUGAAUUUAGGCGCCUGAAGGGGAGGGAGGAUCGGGGGAGAGGGCCUCAGCGUCGCCUCAGGGCGCGAGCAGGGACGCCGCCAGGGGUGAAAAGCCAAGGCGGGGCACCAGCUCAAGGCUCCUCCGUUGCAAUGUAUUGUGCCUCACCAGACUCAGUGGCUUGUUUUCUUGUUCUCACUCUCGUUUCAGGCUCGCGAAGCAGCCCUGAGAGAACGAGCAAGGAGCCCCACGAGAGUCGCGCAUGCUGGAAGGGGGAUGGUUGUGAGGAUCUCUAGAGCUCCCCACACAGCUCUGAGAGGCGACUUCCCCUGGGAAAUAGGGGCUGCCUCAAAAGAGCACCUUGGUGCUUCAGUGGCAACGUGGUAGCCUGUAAAUGUACCCCCAACCCCGUGAGGAGGCUCCUUUGUCUGGACGGUGGUGGCUCCCUAAAAGAGCCUUUACAUCUUUAAUAGCAAUUCUGUGGCUGGCCUUGGGUGUUUCCAGGGUUUUAUUAUGGAUGGCUUUCCACUCCCAUUAUCUCUAUAUGCUGCUUGGAAUAUUGUUUAAAUACAAACUUAUAAUAUUUGUAAAAAGUAAAACUAAAAUAGGCUUUAAAUAGGAUAAAAUCAAAUAAGCAGAGAAUAAAAUCUUGAAUAGGAUAAAAUCUAAAAAACAGUGAGCUAGUGCAGUAUAAUAAAGGAAAUAUAGGUCAUUAAUAUAACCGGGAAAGUUAACAGAAAAGUGUGAAGCAUUCUAAAAGGUUAGGUAUUUUAGAACAACUAGUGUAUUAAAAUAAUAUUCAAAGUAGCAUAUGGAAAUAAUGAAAAAGCGUAUCCAUAAUAAAAGCCUGAAACCCCAGAAAGCAUAGGAUUUAUUCCUCAAAGCAGUCCCUAAGAUGGCUUGGCUGUAGCCCCUCACAGCUAGAUUGGAUGCCCUGACACGUAUUGCUCAGAGCAGCCCACAAAGGAGCUAGAGCAUGACUUUCUUAUAUGGACUCCAUGUUUUUGCUUUGAAUAACCCUUAAUUUAGCUAGAGAAUAGCUUUCUCAUUCUAGACUAUCUCAUUGUUCUACAUGGCCUCAUGAAGUAGCAGUGUGCCUUUCUCCUAGAUUUUACACUUUUGCUCUAAGAAUCCCCUCAUUUAGCUGGUGGGUGUUGAUGUCCAAACCUUUCUGUGUAACCUUACUUUUCAUGCUCUGAAUAGUGGUGAGAUGGCAUAUCUGACUUGCACAGAUGAUCAGCUUGGUCUGCCCUGCCCGUGGAGAAAGCAAGGAUAGUGGAAAUGCAGCAUCCUUGACCUCUUCAAGCAGCGUGGUGUGCUGACCAGGCUUGGCUGGCUGAAGGGACAUGGUGAUGAGGCAAGGGAACAAGUCCUGAAGGCUUAAGAUUUGAGGAGGAAAAGGGGAGAAAAAACAAAGCAAUACAGAAAGAGGAAGAAAAACAAGUAGAAAGGAAAAACAAGAGGAAUCAAAAGGGAAGAGGGUGCCGUUCCUCGCUGCGUGACUUCGCCCUUCAUCUAUCUUGUUAAUGGUGAUGAGUUGGCAUCUCCCAAGUGCCCCGUCCCUAGUCUUCAGCUUGGUGCGCCCUGCCCACGGAGAAAGCCGGGGAGGGUGGAAGCGCGGCAUCCAUGACUUCUUCAAGCAGCGUGGUGUGCCGAGGAGCGGGCCCUGCUGGCUGGCUGAAGAAGGCACACGAAGGCAAUGGGGAGCAAGGACAGAAGAAAGAGGGGCAGAAGGAGGCAGAGAAGCAAGCAGCAAGGCGCCAGAGGAGACGUGAAAAGAAGCAGGAGGAGACCGGCUCUCCAGGAGCUUGGUAGAAGAAACGGGCAGGCUGUGCUCCCACCAGGCGGACGGCUUCAUUUCUCUCUCUCGGCCACUGAUCACUCUGGGUGGGGCUGAUGGCCCUGCAGCGUGGCAUUCCUCGUGCUGGACUUCAUGUCUUUGCACCAGGGAGCCCUGAAAGGGGUGGGAGUGCGGCCUUCUCGGGCCGCCCUGAAUCUCUCUGCAUCACUGAGUCCCUUGCAAUUGGGUGGGAGGUGGCUUGCUCCUGCUGGACCUGAAGUAUGUGCGCUGAGCCGCCCCUGGAUGGGACUGGGGGUAUUGCUUUCUCGCGCCACUGCUUUAUGUAUGUGCGCUGAGCUGCCCCUGGGUAGGCUGGCCUGGGGGUGUUGCUUCCUCACGCCGAGCCUUAGAGGUAUGUGCGCUGAGCCACCCCUCGUCGGGGCUGGGGGCGUUAGCUUUCUCACGCCGAGCUUGAUGCCAUGUGCGCUGAGCCUGCCCCUGGCUGGGCUCAGCUUGGGGGUGUUGCUUCCUCGCGCCGAGCCUUCGGGUAUGUGCGCUGAGCCGCCCCGGGCUGGGGCUGGGAGCGUUGCUUUGUGCUGCCAGGCCUUACGUCUCUGCACUGAGCCGCCCCAGUGAGGGCUGGGGGUGUUGCUUCCUCUCGCCACGAGCUUCACGUCUUUGCUCUGAGAAGCCCCUCAUUUGGCCCGGGGGUGGCUCUCUCCAAGCCUUGCUGCCUGACUUUGCCCUUCCCGCUCUGAGUGGUGUUGAGCUGGCCACUCCGCCCUGCCCACGGAGGAAGCUCGGGACGGGAGAAGUGUGGCCUCCCGGACCUCUUCAAGCAGCAGCCUCUGCUGGCUGAAGGCACACGCCUGACGCUUGGUGUGCUCAUGCUCCUUGGCUUGGGCUCUUGCAUGAGCAGCGCUGGUCCUCCAGAAGGCCUUCUCAAGAGGGAGAAGAGUCAAGAGCUGCAGAAGCUGAUCUCUUGCCUUAGGAGGCAAGGGAGAGAAGGGGCCGAAGGAAGAAGUGCCGCAGGCUGCGAAAGAGAAGCUGCAAGCAAGGAGCAACAGGAGGAGACCUGAACAGGGAAGAAGAAGGCGGAGAAGACUGGCUCUCAAGCAGCUUCACAGAAGCAAGAUGGGGGAGAGUCCGCUUCGACCAGCUGGAGGGCCUCCUUGCUGGCUUUCUCUCUGCUCUGGCUGCUUCAUGAGGCUUAGGAUGUCCCUGCCCUGAGUAGCCUCUGGUUGGGGAGGGGCGUGGACAUAAUAACAGGAUGGACUCGGUGUCCAUAUGCUCAGUGGCCCUUUCUUGAACUGGGCUGCGGCUUUCUCGUGCUGGACUUCAUGUCUUUGCACUGGGGAGCCCUACAACUGUGGGAAGUGUCUCUAUACUGGAGAAGCCCUGAUUUGUCUGAGGUGUGUCUUUCCCGUGCUGGACUUUAUGUCUUUGCACUAGGGAGUCCUACAACUGUGGGAAGUGUCUCUAUACUGGAGAAGCCCUGGUUUGGCUGGGAGCGGCUUUCCCGUGCUGGACUUUAUGUCUUUGCACUAGGGAGUCCUACAACUGUGGGAAGUGUCUAUACUGGAGAAGCCCUGAUUUGUCUGAGGUGUGUCUUUCCCGUGCUGGACUUUAUGUCUUUGCACUAGGGAGUCCUACAACUGUGGGAAGUGUCUCUAUACUGGAGAAGCCCUGAUUUGUCUGAGGUGUGUCUUUCCCGUGCUGGACUUUAUGUCUUUGCACUAGGGAGUCUUACAACUGUGGGAAGUGUCUCUAUACUGGAGAAGCCCUGAUUUGUCUGAGGUGUGUCUUUCCCGUGCUGGACUUUAUGUCUUUGCACUAGGGAGUCCUACAACUGUGGGAAGUGUCUCUAUACUGGAGAAGCCCUGGUUUGGCUGGGAGCGGCUUUCCCGUGCUGGACUUUAUGUCUUUGCACUAGGGAGUCCUACAACUGUGGGAAGUGUCUAUACUGGAGAAGCCCUGAUUUGUCUGAGGUGUGUCUUUCCCGUGCUGGACUUUAUGUCUUUGCACUAGGGAGUCCUACAACUGUGGGAAGUGUCUGUAUACUGGAGAAGCCCUGAUUUGUCUGAGGUGUGUCUUUCCCGUGCUGGACUUUAUGUCUUUGCACUAGGGAGUCCUACAACUGUGGGAAGUGUCUCUAUACUGGAGAAGCCCUGAUUUGGCUGGGAGUGGCUUUCUCGUGCUGGACUUCACGUCUUUGCACGGGGAGCCAUACAAAUAGUGAGAGCGUGGCCCUCGUAGGGGCCGUACAAGGAGUAGCCCCCAUUUCAGCUGAGGUGUGUCCUUCUUGUGCUGGACUUCACGUCUUGGCCCUGGGGAGCCCUACAAUUGUGGAAGCGUGGCCUCUUUUUUAUUCUUAUUAUUUUUACAUUUCUAGCCCGCUCUUCUUCCGAGGAGCCCAAAGCGGUGUACCACAUACCUGAUUUUUUCCUCACAACAACCCUGUGAAGUAGGUUAGGCUGAGAGAGAAGCAACUGGCCCAGAGUCACCCAGCUAGUAUCAUGGCUGAAUGGGGAUUUGGUCUCGAGUCUCCCUGGUCCUAGUAAACUAGGGAACCCCUGAUUUGGCUGUGGUGCCGGUUUCACGUGCUGGACUUCAUGUCUUUGCACUGGGAAGCCCCACAAUUGUAAGAGUAUGGCCAUCGUAGUGACUGUACACUGAGAAGCCCCGAUUUGGCUGAGGAGUGGCUUUCUCAUGCUGGACUUCACGUCCUGGCACUGGGGAGCCCCGAAAAUGCUGAGAGCAUGGCCUUCCCAGGCGAGCCUGAGUGUCUGUAUGCUGCGUGGCUGCUCAUUUCUCUGCAGGGUGCCGGUCGUUCCUCGCUGCGUGACUUCGCCCUUCAUCUAUCUUGUUAAUGGUGAUGAGUUGGCAUCUCCCAAGUGCCCCGUCCCUAGUCUUCAGCUUGGUGCGCCCUGCCCACGGAGAAAGCCGGGGAGGGUGGAAGCGCGGCAUCCAUGACUUCUUCAAGCAGCGUGGUGUGCCGAGGAGCGGGCCCUGCUGGCUGGCUGAAGAAGGCACACGAAGGCAAUGGGGAGCAAGGACAGAAGAAAGAGGGGCAGAAGGAGGCAGAGAAGCAAGCAGCAAGGCGCCAGAGGAGACGUGAAAAGAAGCAGGAGGAGACCGGCUCUCCAGGAGCUUGGCAGAAGAAACGGGCAGGCUGUGCUCCCACCAGGCGGACGGCUUCAUUUCUCUCUCUCGGCCACUGAUCACUCUGGGUGGGGCUGAUGGCCCUGCAGCGUGGCAUCCCUCGUGCUGGACUUCAUGUCUUUGCACCAGGGAGCCCUGAAAGGGGUGGGAGUGCGGCCUUCUCGGGCCGCCCUGAAUCUCUCUGCAUCACGGAGUCCCUUGCAAUUGGGUGGGAGGUGGCUUGCUCCUGCUGGACCUGAAGUAUGUGCGCUGAGCCGCCCCUGGAUGGGACUGGGGGUAUUGCUUUCUCGCGCCACUGCUUUAUGUAUGUGCGCUGAGCUGCCCCUGGGUAGGCUGGCCUGGGGGUGUUGCUUCCUCGCGCCGAGCCUUAGAGGUAUGUGCGCUGAGCCACCCCUCGUCGGGGCUGGGGGCGUUAGCUUUCUCACGCCGAGCUUGAUGCCAUGUGCGCUGAGCCUGCCCCUGGCUGGGCUCAGCUUGGGGGUGUUGCUUCCUCGCGCCGAGCCUUCGGGUAUGUGCGCUGAGCCGCCCCGGGCUGGGGCUGGGAGCGUUGCUUUGUGCUGCCAGGCCUUACGUCUCUGCACUGAGCCGCCCCAGUGAGGGCUGGGGGUGUUGCUUCCUCUCGCCACGAGCUUCACGUCUUUGCUCUGAGAAGCCCCUCAUUUGGCCCGCGGGUGGCUCUCUCCAAGCCUUGCUGCCUGACUUUGCCCUUCCCGCUCUGAGUGGUGUUGAGCUGGCCACUCCGCCCUGCCCACGGAGGAAGCUCGGGACGGGAGAAGUGUGGCCUCCCGGACCUCUUCAAGCAGCAGCCUCUGCUGGCUGAAGGCACACGCCUGACGCUUGGUGUGCUCAUGCUCCUUGGCUUGGGCUCCUGCAUGAGCAGCGCUGGUCCUCCAGAAGGCCUUCUCAAGAGGGAAACGAGUCAAGAGCUGCAGAAGCUGAUCUCUUGCCUUAGGAGGCAAGGGAUAGACGGGGCAGAAGGAAGAAGUGCUGCAGGCAGCGAAAGAGAAGCUGCAAGCAAGGAGCAACAAGAGGAGACCUGAACAGGGAAGAAGGAGGCGGAGAAGACUGGCUCUCAAGCAGCUUCACAGAAGCAAGACGGGGGGAGUCCGCUUCGACCAGCUGGAGGGCCUCCUUGCUGGCUUUCUCUGCUCUGGCUGCCUUCAUGAGGCUUAGGAUCUCCCUGCCCUGAGUAGCCUCUUGUUUGGGAGGGGCGUGGACAUAAUAACAGGAUGGACUCGGUGUCCAUAUGCUCAGUGGCCCUUUCUUGAACUGGGCUGCGGCUUUCUCGUGCUGGACUUCAUGUCUCUGCACUGGGGAGCCAUACAAAUGAUGAGAGUGUGGCCCUCGUAGGGGCCGUACAAGGAGCAGCCCCCAUUUCAGCUGAGGUGUGUCUUUCUCGUGCUGGACUUUAUGUCUUUGCACUGGGGAGCCCUACAAUUGUGGGAAGUGUCUCUAUACUGGAGAAGCCCUGAUUUGUCUGGGGAGCAGCUUUCUCGUGCUGGACUUCAUGUCUCCGCACUGGGGAGCCAUAAAAAUUGUGUGUCCCUCAUAGGAGCAGCCCAUAUUUCAGCUGAGGUGUGUCUUUCCCGUGCUGGACUUUAUGUCAUAGCGCUGGGCAGCCCUAGAGCUGUGGGAGUGUGGCCUGCUUAGUGUCUGUAUGUUGUAGAAACCCUGAUUUGGCUGGGGAGCAUAUUUCUCGUGCUGGACUUCAUGUCUCUGCUCUGGGGAGCCAUAGAAAUAGUGAGAGCGUGGCCCUCGUAGGGGCCGUACAAGGAGCAGCCCCUCUUUUGGCUGUCGUGUGUCUUUCUCGUGCUGGACUUCAUGUCUUUGCACUGUCUUUCUUAGUGGCCAUACAGUGGGCUUUGGGUAUCCCUUUUCCUUUUUGGAUUUUACAUUUUUUUCUUUGUGUUUUACAUUUAAAUGUCUGGGGGAGCUUCAAUCCUGGUUACAUGACUUUGCUCUUCUUUUUCUGAAUGGUGAUGAAGUGGUACCUUCGGCCUGGCGUGGUGCGGCAGUAGAAGUGCGGCAUUUCUGACCUCUUCAAGCCGCGUCGUAUACUGAGCAUGCUCUGCUGGCUGAAAGCACACGAAGAGAACAGGAGAAAGACUGAAGGAACAACUGCGGAACAAGGAGAAAGAACAUCAUAAAGUCCCAACAGGAGCCCUGAAGACUAACUGGAGAAGUGGGAGGAGAAGAUCGGAUAACAAGAAGCAGGAGAGAAGAAACAGGCAGGCUCCCCUCCUCGGAGCUGACUGCCUCCUUCAUGACUGAGUAGCAAUUCUAUCACAUAGAAAUAUCCCCACAUUGCUGUGAGCCUCUUUCAACCCAAGAUGGUGACUGUCUCCAAAGGACUUCAAUUUUUGAUGGCAUCUAAAUAUUGGCACAGCCCCGUGAAGCUGCUUAGCCUGUCAGCUGGUGGGGGUCUCGAAAGAGCGGCAUGCUUGAGGGGCAGUUUUCUGGCAGUUCAGUCUUCAUGCCUGACCCUGUGUCUCGGCUGCUUCCUGCUCUGAGAAAUCCCCAAGGUGCUUGGAGUGUGGUUUUCUUCAUUCCUGGCUUGAUAUCUCUGCUUCAGAUUGCUCAGAGCAGCCACUGAGAUGGCUGGAGAGCCACUGGCCUUGGGUGUGUCCAGGGUUUUAUCCUAGCUGGCUUCUCUGCCCCCCAUUAUUUCUGUAUGCUGCUUGCAAUAUUGUUUAAAUACAAACUUAAAAUACGUUAAAAACUAAAACAAAAAUAGCUGUUGCAUAGGUUAACCUCUAAAAGGAUAGGAUCAAACCUAAAAAGAAUAAACAAGUGUAGUAUAAUAUAAGUAGGAUAACAUCUAAAAGAUUAGGAUAAAAUCUAAAAAGAUUAAACAAGUAUAGUAUAAUAUAAGAAAUACAGAUCUAUUAACUUAAUUAGGAAGGCUAAUAGGAAAUAAAAUGAAGCAUUUUCAAAGUAGAUUAGAUAUUCUAGACCAACUAGUGUAUUAAAAUAAUAUUCAAAGCAGCAUAUGGGAAUGGUGAGAAAAAGCACUUUGCUACUGAAAGUCUGAAAGGCCAGAACACAUCCACCAGUCCCUCAUGUAGCUCUUCCGUGGCUCCGGGUCUCUUCCUACUAAGAUCUUACAGACUAUUCCCCCUUUGAUGCAAAGAUGGGUGCUUGGGCGAUUUGAUGUAGAAAUAAAGAUCAAUAUUGUCUUUAUGUAGCUUUGUUUACUGACAGGCUUAUAGGAUGCUGAAGAUGGUAUUUCUGUCAAGCACCCAGAACUGAUUCUUAUUUCAAGUUGUUUUAAUCUGUGUGUUUUUUGUAAAUGGCCCAGAGACAUGAGUUUUGGGUGGUCCUAACCAAAUAUGCUAAAUAAAAAGCUGUCAGUAUUGUCUGCUAGAAUCAAA
This is a long non-coding RNA of Hemicordylus capensis (graceful crag lizard), 8443 nucleotides long. RefSeq lists it as uncharacterized. The transcript is spliced from 6 exons. The record is from RefSeq and is a predicted model, not a curated record. NCBI's taxonomy places the organism in Eukaryota, Metazoa, Chordata, Lepidosauria, Squamata, Cordylidae.